Molecule: long non-coding RNA, 463 nt
Organism: Gymnodraco acuticeps
Lineage: Eukaryota; Metazoa; Chordata; Actinopteri; Perciformes; Bathydraconidae
Exons: 2
Source: RefSeq, a predicted model, not a curated record
AGUGGAGGCCUCAAACUCUCCAACUACACGUGCCAUCUCGGGGCCAGACAGCAUCCAUCGUCGCAGAGCUGCAGGGUUCUCCGUCAGGCCUACAGCAUCACUAUCACCUUUCACAGAGCUACAGGAUGAUAGACCAGAAGUGGAACUGGGGACAUGACACUGGUCUUGUCCACCCGCUACCCCUCCAGGAGGUUGCCAAGUACCUUGAGUGCUGCCAUCUCAAUGUGAAACCUAACAAACAUCACAAGCCCCUGAACUCCCAUCCCCAGGUGACUGGAUGCAAAAAGGGGUGCAGUGGACAAUUUUCAAAUGUGUCAAAGUAGGAAUUCAGUGCACUUCCCAUUGCUACUGUGGGGGACUGUGUUUUCAGAACUAACUCUGCAUUUAGUUGAAAACCUGUAAUAUGACAUAUAUAUUAUGUAACAUGUAUUACUUCACCAUAAUAAAUAUGUUAAUGGUUUUA